RNAcentral lists this ribosomal RNA (398 nucleotides) under uncultured bacterium. RNAcentral describes it as "partial 16S ribosomal RNA". It matches the Rfam family "Bacterial small subunit ribosomal RNA", at positions 523 to 918 of the family's 1533-position model. The record is from RNAcentral.
AUACGUAGGGUGCGAGCGUUGUCCGGAAUUACUGGGCGUAAAGAGCUCGUAGGUGGUUUGUCGCGUCGUCUGUGAAAUUCCGGGGCUUAACUCCGGGCGUGCAGGCGAUACGGGCAUAACUUGAGUACUGUAGGGGAGACUGGAAUUCCUGGUGUAGCGGUGAAAUGCGCAGAUAUCAGGAGGAACACCGGUGGCGAAGGCGGGUCUCUGGGCAGUAACUGACGCUGAGGAGCUAAAGCAUGGGUAGCGAACAGGAUUAGAUACCCUGGUAGUCCAUGCCGUAAACGGUGGGCGCUAGGUGUAGGGGUCUUCCACGACUUCUGUGCCGUAGCUAACGCAUUAAGCGCCCCGCCUGGGGAGUACGGCCGCAAGGCUAAAACUCGAAUGAAUUGACGGGG